GGGCCCGUAGUCUAGCGGUUAGGAUGCCCGCCUCACGCGCGGGAGAUCCCGGGUUCAAAUCCCGGCGGGCCCA
This 73-nucleotide transfer RNA is filed under the name Vulcanisaeta distributa DSM 14429. It matches the Rfam family "tRNA". Rfam says of the family: Transfer RNA (tRNA) molecules are approximately 80 nucleotides in length. Their secondary structure includes four short double-helical elements and three loops (D, anti-codon, and T loops). The record is from Rfam by way of RNAcentral. Lineage: Archaea; Thermoproteati; Thermoproteota; Thermoprotei; Thermoproteales; Thermoproteaceae.